GAUCUGGAGUCCGAAUCUAUUGAUACCGAAAAUGGCAGAGACAAAUUAACGUUCCACACUGGUAUACGUAAUUAGCAGCGACGAACACCACCUGUAAUGGUGGAUUACACGCGUGCGGUUAUGAGAUCCAGCUGUUAGAUCUUAGGGCCUUCCUGGGUUCUGAGGAGAAUGGGUGUAAAGCAAAAAAAGGUCCCAAGUGCUAAACAGGUG
Molecule: long non-coding RNA, 210 nt
Filed under: Setaria viridis
Lineage: Eukaryota; Viridiplantae; Streptophyta; Magnoliopsida; Poales; Poaceae
Description: long non-coding RNA (SVIR_LNC004141)
Source: RNAcentral